RNAcentral lists this ribosomal RNA (253 nucleotides) under uncultured bacterium. RNAcentral's name for it is "partial 16S ribosomal RNA". It matches the Rfam family "Bacterial small subunit ribosomal RNA", at positions 524 to 776 of the family's 1533-position model. The record is from RNAcentral.
UACGUAGGGUGCAAGCGUUGUCCGGAAUUAUUGGGCGUAAAGAGCUCGUAGGCGGUCUGUCGCGUCUGCUGUGAAAACUCAGGGCUUAACCCUGAGCUUGCAGUGGGUACGGGCAGACUAGAGUGCGGUAGGGGAGACUGGAAUUCCUGGUGUAGCGGUGAAAUGCGCAGAUAUCAGGAGGAACACCGGUGGCGAAGGCGGCUCUCUGGUCCACAACUGACGCUGAGGUGCGAAAGCUAGGGGAGCAAACGGG